CCUACUGGUGGCAGCAGUGGGGGAUAUUGCACAAUGGGGGAAACCCUGAUGCAGCGACGCCGCGUGAGUGAAGAAGUAUUUCGGUAUGUAAAGCUCUAUCAGCAGGGGAGAAAAUGACAGUACCUGACCAAUAAUCUCCGUCUAACUACGUGACAGCAGCCGCGGUAAUACGGAGGGGUCAAGCGUUAUCCGGAUUUACUGGGUGUAAAGGGAGCGUAGACGGUUAUGGAAGUCUGGAGUGAAAGCCCGGGGCCCAACCACGGGACUGCUUUGGAAACGGUGUAACUGGAGUACAGGAGGGGCAGGCGGAAUUCCUGGUGUAGCGGUGAAAUGCGUAGAUAUCAGGAGGAACACCGGCGGCGAAGGCGGCCUGCUGGACUGAAACUGACGUUGAGGCUCGAAAGCGUGGGGAGCAAACAGGAUGAGAUACCCCUGUAGUC
This 440-nucleotide ribosomal RNA is filed under the name uncultured bacterium. RNAcentral's name for it is "partial 16S ribosomal RNA". It matches the Rfam family "Bacterial small subunit ribosomal RNA", at positions 338 to 795 of the family's 1533-position model. The record is from RNAcentral.